GCCACUGUGCCAUCUCUUCUUAUUCUUAUAUUUGUCUUAGAAUUCAAUAAUAAUUGUUUACAAUUUUUUAGUAUUAAAUUGAAUAAGUUUGGCAAAGUGUAUUUCACAUCUUCAAGAAAGAUUUAUUGGAAAACAGUCAUUGUUGAUUUAGACAAAAAUAUUUAGAAAAUAAGGCAUUACUGAAAUGACACAAGUAAAAUAUGAAACUGGAUACCAAUUUUUUUAAAUAUCAAAAUGCUGUAACUGAAAAAAAAACUGCUGUUUGUUUGUUGUUGGCUCUGUCAAUUACUAGAAUCCUGUGGUUUUAAUCACCAGCAGUUAAUUAACAAUGAUGUCCUGAGGAGGCUCACUGUCUCUAAGAACACAAGAAGCUCAAGCAGAUCUGAGAUGAUGCACACUUUCGGGCAGGUUCUCUCUUCUGAAUUAGGCUUCAUUCGUAAACAUUUAAAAGUAAAACCCAUACUGAAGAACAGUAACAUUUCCGAUAAUUCGGGGCUUCUGCACCAGGAUUGGGAAAUCUAGCAGAAGGCGGCUUCUUAACACUAUCUUGCUGUCAGCUACACACUGACACUCAUCCACACAACUAGCCAGCAGCACUUAUGGAGUGCUCACUUUAGGCAAGAAACCAGGUUAAGGUACAGCAAUAGACAAGAAGGUGAAAAAGAUGAUUCUGAUUACAAUUGGCAUAGUAGCUACCACGGUUUAUAAGUAUAAUUUUAACACAAAAUGCCUUGGGUUACGAAGGCUUGACAUCCCAAGAUGAUAGAUAUAUACAUACAUCCUUAUGAGUCUACGGAUUAUCAGAUUCAGUGAGACAGCUCCACAAACCAUGGCCUAUAAGUUUGGAAACACUGAUUAAUUUGUGUAAUACAAUAGGUACACAAAUAGCUAAAAUCCACAAAAGAAAGUCCCCAGCAUGAAAAUAAUUCCUGCUCAAGAAUCUGGGAAAAGCUCAACAAAAGCGUUGGUAUAUGAGGUAGGCUUUAAAAGCGGACAAUAUGCUUGCAAGAGAAAGAUGGUAAGGCAGGGAAUUCUAGCUAUACGAAAAAAGCAUGAGCAAAGCAGUUAGGACACUCCAGAGCUGGACUUCAUAGCCUUUCACGUCACAGACUCCUUCAAGAAUCUGCAGGAAGCCAUGGAACCCUCACCAGGAACGUGCACACUACGUCACAAUCGGCGGUUCUUUGCAUAACCUCAUAACCCAGGCUAAAGACCUUUGCUUUUGAUGUUUUUCAGGAACACAAAAAGCCCAACAGUAUCCAGAAAUGUAAACUGAGCAAGGAAGAACAACAGGAGAUACAGCUACAAUGAAUCUAGGCUUUGUUCUCUAACAAGGGUGGACCCUGUCAAUCAUAUAAGAAAGGAGAUCCUGCCUGAGCUACAAGGCUGAACAAAAGGAAGCAAAAACCCACCAUCCGGACAUAGAAGCCAACACUUGAGUCAAAGUCUUUUCAGGGAAUUGGACAGUAUCUGAGUGGCUAUAUAUGUGGUUGUCUUCAAUCCAGAGCCUCCUUAUGUCUUUUGUUUUGUUGCAAUGCGGACAUCUCUUACAGUAAGCAAACUUUUAGGGAAUGUGUGUUUCUCUGCAAAAUGACACCAUAAUUAGAGACAGACUAUUCCUCCUCAGCCUUAGCCAAUGAGCUCGUGUGGCCUGCCCAAGUGUCGUGAGUCGGGGGGGAAUCGUCCUGCUCUGUAAAUAUUUUCAUUCAAUGUAAACAAAACACAGUUGCAAAUCUUUUAACCAUUCAGCUAAUUAAUGUUCUGAAUUACUGCCUAUAAAAUACUCUCUAUAAAUCAUCAGUAACAAGAAGAAUCACAUUACUAUUAACAGGCAGUAUUUUUCCAGGUACCCAAAGUUAUAAAAUUAGUAAAACAGCAAUGGCCCAGGCUAAAAGCAGUGCAAAUCAGCAGUUAAUCCUUGAUUCUGACCUGCUUCCUUUUGGUACACUAAUUUUACAGUCAGUUUCUGAUACCUGCUGUCCUCUAGUAAUGCUCACCAUGAGCUAAAGUUGGCUACUGAACUCAGUUAGGUGAAAGCUCCCAUCAGUUACCAACUUCCGAGGUCAACACUAGCUUUUUGAAGGAUGCUGAGGAAAAUGGGCAUAUUGGUACCAAAGGGCCCAUGCCAACAAUUACAAUUCUUUCAUAUCCCAUUUUUAGCAUAUGAUUCAUAGUUACCAACCACAUACUGUAAGAGUCAGAAGUGCAUGCAUCAAGAAAAGGAGAACUGGGGGAAUGUCAUAUACAGAGGAACAGGAAUGGGUAUGUGUAUGUUACGCUGGAGAACAGACAGGCAAAAUCAUAGGGUAUCAUGGACAUAAAGAUCCUAAAAAUGAGAUUCUCCUAAAUACAUUAUAUGAGGACAAAAAUUUUAAAACAUCACCGUGAUCUCACAGAGAAAAUCACAUUUCUGAGAAACCAAAAUGAAUAAUAUCUUGGAACAAUUUCAAAACACCAAGUUACCAACUGCUGGCAGCCGAGGCCCAGCAAGUCAACCACCUGACAGUGAUUAUGGAGAGACAAUGACAACACUCUACCACAAAUCACAACGCCUCUACCUAGUGCCCUGCCCAACAUGGCAUUUCAUUGGUUUUUGUGUCUAGCCUUCUGAGCCCAUUCCUUAGCCUCACUUGACCAAAGAAAAAAAUCGAAAAGACCCAAGUAAUAAACUGAAUUGAUAAAUCAAUAAAAUAGGUCCACUAUUUCCUUGACCAAGGCAAUAUAUUUCCACUUUGCUUAAAAUGACCCUCACCUCCACAUACACCCUCACAAGUUCAGUUACUGAGGUUCUUUCUGUCAUCUAUGAAAUGCUUGGUUGACUUCCAAUUUCCCCUGCCUUUGCCAGAAAAUUGCUAAAUUUCCAAAAAGUGCUCUUUGAGCUGUCCAACAUUCCCAGACUCUCAUCUUACCGGCUGGAGGAGUUCUUACUAAUUUUAGAUUCAAGGAUGCCUUCUGUGAGCAAUUAGCUAUUCAGAGUCUCCGCCCUCAUCCUGCUUAGACACCAAACAUCACUAAUGCGGAGAACACAAACAAAUACAGCUAUCAACAAAGUCAGAAGCUACCUCUGAAAAGCAGUCAAACCAAGCCAAAAGGUCAGCUCUGCCACCUUAAUAGAUAGGUUUAUUGGAAAUCCUUCCAAAAGAAAUAAAUGUUGCCUAUCCUUCCCCUAAAGAAUUGAACGAGACAGUAGCAGAAAAACAGAAAAGACUCAGACAAAAGACAGAAAUACUUAAAAGACAGAGGCAGAGAGACUGACAGAGAAAGAGACCAGGCAGAUGGGGGUGGAGUCUGGGGGCGGAGGGGUGACAGAGACAGAAGGACAAACAGAGCAACUUGGAAGGUGAAUUUCUCUCUCUGUGAUUUUCAACAGUAUGAGGUUCUCCCAAGCAUAAGAAUCCAUUUUAAUGAAAGUAAAAUUACAUUUCAACAGUAAGUGGUCCAAUGCUGAUUACCAAGCACCUAUUGCUUCCUGUUCAGAUAUUCCUUUAAGAGGCUUACAUUCACCCCUCAUCCUCCACUGUGCACAGAUUUCUCGGCCUUUCUCCCAAUACAGGAGGGCCAGGGACAUGGCUACCGGGUUCAAAGCGCUAAAACAGCCUGCAGAGCUUCAGAAUGCAUGAGGUGC
RNAcentral lists this long non-coding RNA (3625 nucleotides) under Homo sapiens (human). RNAcentral's name for it is "HSALNT0382749". The record is from RNAcentral. Lineage: Eukaryota; Metazoa; Chordata; Mammalia; Primates; Hominidae.